GUCAGCUCGUAAUGCGGACGUGAAUGCUCUGCGAUUAGCCGUGAUUAACCGCGUUUAACCGCGAUUUACUCCUUCAAAGUGCGUAAUAAGUGCGAGUUCUUGUCGAGAGUGUCGAUUAAAGUGACGGGCGAUUGUUGGAAUGUAUCACAUAUCGCGUACGUGAUCGUGACUACCGGUGUUUUAUCAACCGCUUUGACGCGGGAAAGCGAAUUCAAAUUGCUGUGGUUCAGUAAGUACAAAUUUUCAUGCAAUAGGCACGCGAAAAUGACCACUAUGUCAAUAUGCUUAAAACAAUCAAAGCGCCAUGUUGAUUAGUUGCACAUAUUGAAAAAUCAGUUUGUCGGAGUUAUAUCGGGUAAAAUAUUGUCGCGUACGUGUCCGUAUCUGUUGAUUUCUGUUCGAUUGCCGUAAUAGUCUCGCUCUGAAUGUGCGUAAUGUCGACCGCUACAUGUUGUGAUAUUCUGUGCUACAAAUAUGUGCGUGGACGCGACACGGUACGAAGUGAGUUUUAUUGUAUCUCGCGUUUGCGUUUCGUAUACCACAAUUUACGAUGUGAUUUUUGACGUUGUUUUUCGAAAGUGAAGUGCGCGAGUGUAACAAAGUGCGAGUGGAUUUCCAGGAAGCAUUCAUCCAUUCUUUGUUAGUGCUGAUGCAAUGGAAAUACCAGAAUCUGCAGUGGAUGGAGCAGACUGCAAUACCCUAACUGCCGGAGGGCGUACUUAGCUAGGGUACAACACUGGAUAUACCUAUCUCGGAUCUUCGCUCGUUGUGGAGCCGUCCGUAGCCAGUGCAGCCAAAAAACGG
This is a non-coding RNA of Linepithema humile (Argentine ant), 804 nucleotides long. The record is from RefSeq and is a predicted model, not a curated record. NCBI's taxonomy places the organism in Eukaryota, Metazoa, Arthropoda, Insecta, Hymenoptera, Formicidae.